This 859-nucleotide ribosomal RNA is filed under the name Bifidobacterium adolescentis. Its description in RNAcentral is "bacterial SSU rRNA". It matches the Rfam family "Bacterial small subunit ribosomal RNA", at positions 69 to 936 of the family's 1533-position model. The record is from RNAcentral. Lineage: Bacteria; Bacillati; Actinomycetota; Actinomycetes; Bifidobacteriales; Bifidobacteriaceae.
AUCCCAGGAGCUUGCUCCUGGGUGAGAGUGGCGAACGGGUGAGUAAUGCGUGACCGACCUGCCCCAUACACCGGAAUAGCUCCUGGAAACGGGUGGUAAUGCCGGAUGCUCCAGUUGGAUGCAUGUCCUUCUGGGAAAGAUUCAUCGGUAUGGGAUGGGGUCGCGUCCUAUCAGCUUGAUGGCGGGGUAACGGCCCACCAUGGCUUCGACGGGUAGCCGGCCUGAGAGGGCGACCGGCCACAUUGGGACUGAGAUACGGCCCAGACUCCUACGGGAGGCAGCAGUGGGGAAUAUUGCACAAUGGGCGCAAGCCUGAUGCAGCGACGCCGCGUGCGGGAUGACGGCCUUCGGGUUGUAAACCGCUUUUGACUGGGAGCAAGCCCUUCGGGGUGAGUGUACCUUUCGAAUAAGCACCGGCUAACUACGUGCCAGCAGCCGCGGUAAUACGUAGGGUGCAAGCGUUAUCCGGAAUUAUUGGGCGUAAAGGGCUCGUAGGCGGUUCGUCGCGUCCGGUGUGAAAGUCCAUCGCUUAACGGUGGAUCCGCGCCGGGUACGGGCGGGCUUGAGUGCGGUAGGGGAGACUGGAAUUCCCGGUGUAACGGUGGAAUGUGUAGAUAUCGGGAAGAACACCAAUGGCGAAGGCAGGUCUCUGGGCCGUCACUGACGCUGANGAGCGAAAGCGUGGGGAGCGAACAGGAUUAGAUACCCUGGUAGUCCACGCCGUAAACGGUGGAUGCUGGAUGUGGGGACCAUUCCACGGUCUCCGUGUCGGAGCCAACGCGUUAAGCAUCCCGCCUGGGGAGUACNGCCGCAAGGCUAAAACUCAAAGAAAUUGACGGGGGCCNGCACAAGCGGCGGA